Molecule: long non-coding RNA, 1070 nt
Organism: Rosa rugosa (rugosa rose)
Lineage: Eukaryota; Viridiplantae; Streptophyta; Magnoliopsida; Rosales; Rosaceae
Exons: 3
Source: RefSeq, a predicted model, not a curated record
GAUGGAGGAGAUGGAGGUGCUUCGGUUAUCAACCAAAGUGAAACAAGAAAGUAGACCUGACCCAGAUCGGGGGGAGGUGAGCGAGGAUUAUAUUCUUGUGAAAGUAAGGUUUUCGAGGGGAAUUGGGAGCCGCAGUAACGCUCCUAGAUUCGAGACAAUUUUGGGUCAACCUCCGAUUUGUCCAGAAUGUUUCAUCCCCCUACAGGACUAGGUGCACACAAAUCAAUCGCAGAAUCUCUUGUCACUCAUGCGUGUCCCCGAGAGGGAACAUCCCAAUGCUAUCAACAAGUUACUGGAGGUGCUUGACGCCACAGUCUCCACCGAGCUGCCUGCCUAUUGACGUGGCCAUAUGGGGCAUGAUGCCGUAUCUGAAUCCAUGGACAUGUGUAAGCCCAAUCUCGUUCCCGCGACAAGGUCGUCUAUUGAAGCCCUGGAGAGAGUGAACCUCACGUUGCCUUUUGAAGAUCCAUGUGUUAUUUGUUUGGAGGAUUUCGGUGUUGAUCAAAUGGUUAUCCACUUGCCCUGUUCACACUAUUAUCAUGAACAUUGCAUUGUCCAGUCACUUGUGUCCCCUCUGCCGCUACCCAAUGCCAACUCUGGUGGAUGAAGUGCCUCCUCCUCAACUCUGUUGAGCCCCAGUCAGGUUUAAUUAUCGACACAUGGCCUAUCCCUGUACAGGACGGUUAGCCACUUGGAAUACCUGAUGAGAGGAUAAUACUUUUGCUGGAUUGCUGGAGUUGACACGGCCUGUAAUGCAAUAAACAAGUAUCCUGCCCAAGUUUUUAAUAAUGAAAACCAGAGACUUAACUUGUAUGGAGAUAAUGUUGAGGUGAGAUUCCCUGAUUAUAGGUUCUGAUAUACGUGUCUACCUGGGUACUAUGUCGAUAUUGUGAGAGUGAGACUGAUCGAGAACUGAGAAUUUAGGUGAAUCUGAUCGAACCAUACGGACACUGCUGAGAAUGCAUCACACAUGGUUCUGUUUCUGUUAGACAAAACUAAAGAGACUGAGAUCUGGAACCUUGUACGAUUAUUUUGUAUUUAAGCCUGAAUAUGCUAAGGAUUUUCAAUGA